Molecule: ribosomal RNA, 404 nt
Filed under: uncultured bacterium
Lineage: Bacteria
Description: bacterial SSU rRNA
Rfam family: Bacterial small subunit ribosomal RNA
Source: RNAcentral
UUUUGGACAAUGGGCGCAAGCCUGAUCCAGCCAUUCCGCGCGAGUGAAGAAGGCCUUCGGGUUGUAAAGCUCUUUCGCAAGGGAAGAAAGAUUACUCUCUAAUAUAGAGUGAUUAUGACGGUACCUUGAUAAGAAGCACCGGCUAACUACGUGCCAGCAGCCGCGGUAAUACGUAGGGUGCGAGCGUUAAUCGGAAUUACUGGGCGUAAAGCGUGCGCAGGCGGUUUUGUAAGUCAGAUGUGAAAUCCCCGAGCUCAACUUGGGAACUCGGUUUGAAACUACAAGACUAGAAUAGGUCAGAGGGGGGUAGAAUUCCACGUGUAGCAGUGAAAUGCGUAGAGAUGUGGAGGAAUAUCAAUGGCGAAGGCAGCCCCCUGGGAUCAUAUUGACGCUCAUGCACGAAA